AUCGGUGCAUUACUGUAUGUUAUGGAAACCUGUUACCAAGAAUUGUAUGAUAACAAUCCUUCAAAAGAAAAAGCAUGAAAAGCUGAAGCUAUUGGCUGAACCAUCGGUGCAUUACUAUAUAUUAUGAAAACCUGUUACCAAGAAUUGUAUGAUAACAAUCUUUCAAAAGAAAAAGCAUGAAAAGCUGAAGCUAUUGGCUGAACCAUCGGUGCAUUACUGUAUAUUAUGGAAACCUGUUACCAAGAAUUGUAUGAUAACAAUCCUUCAAAAGAAAAAGUAUGAAAAGCUGAAGCUAUUAACAGAGCAACACCUCUUCGAUGUUCGAUGAAGAGUCCUCCGAUCACAGGUUCUUUAUUCUUCCACCAUUUAACUCGCUACCAACCCAGUGCUGAACUGAGUCACUGUUUGCUCAUCUCAGGAUAUUCAUAUUUGGGCUGAAUGGUGGUGGCAAUCAGUUCAACUUAGUUGUAAUAGUAUUUGUUUUCUCUCAUUGCAAACCAUAUUUUUGUUCAUCUUUUUCUCAAAAUGUGAAUUGGAUCAGAGCAUACCUACGAUGAGUUUGGAAAAAGUAAUUUACUUUGAAUGGUUUGCUUAGAAUGUGAAUUCUUCUUUGAGGCUGAUCUAGAUUUUGGUCCUAGAUCUAGAAUGAUCUAAUAGUUUGGCUCUUCUUUAUUGUUCCUCCAUUUCAUCUCUUUGACAGACUCCUCUUUUGAAUUUUCUGGCAAGUGGUGUGAGUAAUAUUCAGUCCAUAUUCUAUUGUUAGCUAAUCACAAUAUGGGCAGAUUAUUACUAAACUAUUUGUAUUUGGUAUGAUGCCGUUCUUCCAUUUUGUUUGUAAGACCAGUCACAAAUGGAGAAAUUGGCAUUCCAUCAGCAGCAUGUACUUCUGAACUAGUGGAAGAAGAUUGGCCAACCUCAAUUUCAAGAUGGAACCCACUUCCAUCAUCUGAAGUCAUUACACCUGAACCAAAGAUUGCAACAUCAAUGUCUGAACAAGCUUUCACAGGAAGAAGUUCCAAGCAAACCAAUCUUGCAUCUGAAUUGUAUAAAGACCAAUUAGGAAACAUGCUUCCAGGAAGAUCUUCAAUAUCAUACACGUCAUAGUCAUUAUCAAAAACUAUAAACUCAUCUGUUUCUUGAAGGGAGGUUGUGUAAAAAGCAGGGAGAGGAUAAUCAUUGGCAAUCUCAUCUUCAUUAAUUUUGAUAUAGAAUUUGUUUGAUACAGAGGCUGAUCUGUAGUUUUUCUUCUGCUUCAUAGAUUUCCAAUACUCUUCUUCCUGCAAGAGUCGUGCUAACUUUGCAUCUUCGUCUUCACCAUUUGGAUAAUCUACAAAAUCCAUCUGAUUCUUGUUUUCUUCAUCUCCAGUUCCUGAGCCAAUCCUUAAACUCCCAUUUGAGGGCAUUACUUGCAUAUGUGCAUGGUUUGCCUGCUUCUUAGCCUCAUCUCUAAGAGCAAUAAGAGCAGCUAUAUAUGCAAACAUCAUGUCUUUUGAUUUGGAUUUCAUGUCCAAACCAAUGAGUUGCUUACAAAUGAACUCAUCCUGAGAAAUAACAAAAUCCUUUAUAGAUGUAGUUCCAGAAAAGGAUUUGCUACCACUCAUAGACCGUGCCAUGCAUGUUUGAUCUUGCAAAAGUUGAAGCAAAUCUUUUGUUCUUCCUUAUUAGACUGCUUAUGUUUUUUUAUCUUCUUGUAAUCUUUUAAUCUUUUAUUUUCAUGUCCAAAUAGCUUUUGUUCUUCCUUAUUAGACUCCUUGUAUUUUUUGAUCUUUUUGUAAUCUUUUAUAUUCAUGUCCAAAUAACUUUUGUUCGUCCUAAUUAGACUGCAUUUUCUUUAGGAAUAACCUUUAAUAUUUUUCAUUAUAUGUAUGUGUUAUAUUUUAUAAUUUUAAAUUAAAUAUAUUCGUCUUAUUUUAACAAAAUUUAAUCAAAAAGUAAAUCCUGUGUGAGAACACAGACUGUUGGAUGCUCAUAAUACUUUUUGAUGAAAACAAAUUAAAUAUCUUGAUGACAUGUACUAGAACUGUUUCUUUUUAUUUUAUAUUAUUAAAUUUAAUGUAAAAUUAAAAUAUUUAAUUUAGAACGAACUCUUAUAUAAGAUAUUACUAAAAAAUAGAAAUUAUUUUUUAAUCAAAAUAUUCUUAAUACAGAAGGAAAUGAUAUUUGUUUUGGCUUUUUACAUUAUAAUAGUUUGCAGUUUGCUGGAAAAGUGUAUGAACAAUGACCUUUGAUUCUUUUUUUCUUAUAUAAUAAAGAAAUUUAAAUUAAAUUAUAUUUAUUUGGGAAUUAAAUUGAAUUUAGACCUUUGUAAUGUUUUGAAAUUAUUUUUUUCAAAAAAUUAUAAAAUAGUUAUAUUCUAAAGUAGUUAAAAAUAUAUAAUGUAUAAAACAUUAUUUUACUAAAGUUUUUAAAAUACUGAAGAAAAUAGGAACUUGUUACUUGAAGGAAAUGUCAAUUUUCUUAUUUGUAAUAUGUUUAAAUAUAGUAAUGAAAGAAGGUGAAAUAAAUACAAAUGGACAGAGCUAGUUUUAAGGCAAAAUAUUUUAGUCUGUAUCAGUUUAAAACAACAAUGACUAAACACGUCCAUAUUUAUCUAUUUGCGUUACUUUUAUUAUAUCUUUGAAAAGUUAUCAUGUAAAAACAAUAAGUUGGAAGACAAAUUUUAUUUAAAAAGAAGAAACAAAGUAAAGAAGAAAAUGGCUUUUGUUUUCAAUGAAUAUUGUUUUUGUUGAAAAUGGGUUUUGUUUGCCUCUUUUCUGAACCAAUGAGCUGCGAGCAUGAGAAAAAGCAAAAGGAAAUUAAUUAUCAUCUAUUCAAUUAGCACAUUUAAAUUGUUUUCCUCUAUAAUUUAUUACCAUCUCAUAGAAAAAAAAAAGAAAAAAAAAUCACAAAUUUAUUUUAUAAUAAAUGGCUGAAAUAUUUUGAACUACACAUUAAAGUUUACAGUGAUGUUUUAUAUAAUUUUUUAAAUUUAUUUUAUGAUAUAUGUAUUUUUUUAUAAUAAUAUUUCAUUAACAUUCCUUGUUUUAAAUUUUGACAUAAUAAACUAUUCAAAUUAUUUAGAAAUAUGAAUAAUAAUAAUAAUUUACAACGAUAUUCAUUGAUAUUUUGGACAACAAUGAAAUGACAUUUUGGAAAUUAUACAGUUACAAUGAAAAGUCUAUUGUUUUGCUGUAAGGUAAUUUUUAAAAUUAUAUCAUUUUAACUUGGGAUUUAAUAAAUUUUCUAAAAGAAAGCAACAUAUAUAAAUAUGAAAAUACAAGAUGAAAUGACAGCAAGUUGGUUUGUUUAUUGUUAUAUAUAGAAUGAUUUUUUGUGAAUUUUUUUUUUUAAAUUUUAGUGGAUUUUUUUCUUUUAAAUUUAAGUAAAUUGUUUUUGUGGUUUUAGAUACUUUACAUGAUAUUUGAAAAUUUGCAUGAUAGUGAAUUUUUAAUGUCGUAUUAAGAUGUUACAUUUUGGUACAUUAUAUUAAAUUGUAUGUUUCUUUUCUAUCUUGGUUGCAGGAUUAACAUACGAGUCACAAAGUUUCUCAAGCAAAUAUGUAAAUAUGUUUCAUGUUAAAUGUUCUUAAUAGCAUAACGCUGGUCAAAACACUCUUUGUAUAUGGAUUUUCUUCCGGUGGAGUAUUAGUUUUAUGAAACUUUUGUAAAUUUAUCUAAUAAUAAUAUGUCGUUAACAUUGUUUUUAACAUGAUAUACUUUUUUGUUUUUGUGGAAAUCUUUCUAUAAUGAGGC
RNAcentral lists this long non-coding RNA (3731 nucleotides) under Vigna radiata. RNAcentral's name for it is "long non-coding RNA (VRAD_LNC017645)". Lineage: Eukaryota; Viridiplantae; Streptophyta; Magnoliopsida; Fabales; Fabaceae. The record is from RNAcentral.